This 562-nucleotide long non-coding RNA is filed under the name Salmo salar (Atlantic salmon). Its description in RNAcentral is "lncRNA (ENSSSAG00000110938.1)". The record is from RNAcentral. Lineage: Eukaryota; Metazoa; Chordata; Actinopteri; Salmoniformes; Salmonidae.
AGCGCUCCAGGAACAGCUUGGAGAGCCCUGGGCUAUAGUAACAGAGUAAGCUGGCAGAAACUCGGAGGAAAAAAACGUGUCGGUACAUAAAUUGCAACAUGGAUAUAGAUAUUAUUCAUGACACCAGCUGGAAGGCAGUUUUUUUUUCUCAGUGCGCCAUUGAUGUGAAUGCAGCAAUAUAAUGAAGAACAGCCUCAACUCGUCAGGGCACGGACUUUACAAGGUGUCGAAAGCAUUCCACAGGGAUCCUGGCCCAUGUUGACUCCAAUGCUUCCACACUUGUGUCAAGUUGGCUGGAUGUCCUUUGGAGUUUUGCUAAUGGGGAUUUCCCUUGCGCCUGAUCAAGCACCUUUUCAACAAUUUUGGUGAAGCCCUCAUUGAAGCGACAGCAUAUGUUGCCUACUGGAGAGUAGAUGCAAUCCACCUCAUACAACUGUAGAAAGGGCCAGAGAAGGAGAGAGACAGACAUAUUCCGUAAUACAUCUUUAGACGUCAUGUUGAUUCUUUAAUGCCUGAAAUUAAUAAAAUGUUUUAAGCUGCCUUCUUGAGUUGUCGAAGUAUU